UUAAAUUGAAGAGUUUGAUCAUGGCUCAGAUUGAACGCUGGCGGCAGGCCUAACACAUGCAAGUCGAACGGUAACAGGAAGCAGCUUGCUGCUUUGCUGACGAGUGGCGGACGGGUGAGUAAUGUCUGGGAAACUGCCUGAUGGAGGGGGAUAACUACUGGAAACGGUGGCUAAUACCGCAUAACGUCGCAAGACCAAAGAGGGGGACCUUCGGGCCUCUUGCCAUCAGAUGUGCCCAGAUGGGAUUAGCUUGUUGGUGAGGUAACGGCUCACCAAGGCGACGAUCCCUAGCUGGUCUGAGAGGAUGACCAGCCACACUGGAACUGAGACACGGUCCAGACUCCUACGGGAGGCAGCAGUGGGGAAUAUUGCACAAUGGGCGCAAGCCUGAUGCAGCCAUGCCGCGUGUAUGAAGAAGGCCUUCGGGUUGUAAAGUACUUUCAGCGGGGAGGAAGGUGUUGUGGUUAAUAACCGCAGCAAUUGACGUUACCCGCAGAAGAAGCACCGGCUAACUCCGUGCCAGCAGCCGCGGUAAUACGGAGGGUGCAAGCGUUAAUCGGAAUUACUGGGCGUAAAGCGCACGCAGGCGGUCUGUCAAGUCGGAUGUGAAAUCCCCGGGCUCAACCUGGGAACUGCAUUCGAAACUGGCAGGCUUGAGUCUUGUAGAGGGGGUAGAAUUCCAGGUGUAGCGGUGAAAUGCGUAGAGAUCUGGAGGAAUACCGGUGGCGAAGGCGGCCCCCUGGACAAAGACUGACGCUCAGGUGCGAAAGCGUGGGGAGCAAACAGGAUUAGAUACCCUGGUAGUCCACGCCGUAAACGAUGUCUACUUGGAGGUUGUGCCCUUGAGGCGUGGCUUCCGGAGCUAACGCGUUAAGUAGACCGCCUGGGGAGUACGGCCGCAAGGUUAAAACUCAAAUGAAUUGACGGGGGCCCGCACAAGCGGUGGAGCAUGUGGUUUAAUUCGAUGCAACGCGAAGAACCUUACCUGGUCUUGACAUCCACAGAAGAAUCCAGAGAUGGAUUUGUGCCUUCGGGAACUGUGAGACAGGUGCUGCAUGGCUGUCGUCAGCUCGUGUUGUGAAAUGUUGGGUUAAGUCCCGCAACGAGCGCAACCCUUAUCCUUUGUUGCCAGCGGUUAGGCCGGGAACUCAAAGGAGACUGCCAGUGAUAAACUGGAGGAAGGUGGGGAUGACGUCAAGUCAUCAUGGCCCUUACGACCAGGGCUACACACGUGCUACAAUGGCGCAUACAAAGAGAAGCGACCUCGCGAGAGCAAGCGGACCUCAUAAAGUGCGUCGUAGUCCGGAUUGGAGUCUGCAACUCGACUCCAUGAAGUCGGAAUCGCUAGUAAUCGUGGAUCAGAAUGCCACGGUGAAUACGUUCCCGGGCCUUGUACACACCGCCCGUCACACCAUGGGAGUGGGUUGCAAAAGAAGUAGGUAGCUUAACCUUCGGGAGGGCGCUUACCACUUUGUGAUUCAUGACUGGGGUGAAGUCGUAACAAGGUAACCGUAGGGGAACCUGCGGUUGGAUCACCUCCUUACCUUAAAGAAGC
Molecule: ribosomal RNA, 1555 nt
Filed under: Salmonella enterica subsp. enterica serovar Enteritidis
Lineage: Bacteria; Pseudomonadati; Pseudomonadota; Gammaproteobacteria; Enterobacterales; Enterobacteriaceae
Description: bacterial SSU rRNA
Rfam family: Bacterial small subunit ribosomal RNA
Source: RNAcentral